GCACGCCUGCAGGAGAGGGAGAUGCUGGAAUGUUAGGAGGGAGUACAGAGGAGAACACAAGACCUCACACAGGAUAACCAUGCAGAAAGGAGACGCGGGGCACGUCACAGUAACUUCCUGUCCAUCCUGAAUUACACUCGCAGCGGAUAGAGGAGCCUAUCUGUGUACAACGACCCCCAUUCUGGCAGGGAGAGCGGCGACAGAGAUCCAGUAGAUUCUACAAUACAAGAUUACCAGAGCUGAUGAGAUCUCCACUGUUCUAUUGUCUUAGUAGACUGUGUUCCAACCUACGCGCAGUCUUCCUCACCUGACACUGCACCCCUGUGUAACCAGUUGGGCAGAUGCAGCGAUAGGACUCAACCCUGUCCACGCAAACAGCUCCAUUCUGGCAGGGCCGCGAGGCACACUCAUCCACUUCAAGAUGGCAGUGACUUCCGGUGAAGCCAGAGCCGCAGAUGCAGGUGUAAGUGUUCACACCAUCCACACAGGUGCCUCCAUUGAAACAAGAACUAGGAUGAAGACAUAAAGCUGGAUUAGUACAGUGACAGCAGCCACUAUCGGGAACCAGACAUCACUCCAUACAUAGACCACUUGCACAGUGACUCACUCAUGCUUAGCUGUUGAUGAAUUGUUAUUUGGCUGCAAAACGAAACUAUAAACUGCUGACUCAUGA
Molecule: long non-coding RNA, 673 nt
Organism: Pseudophryne corroboree (corroboree frog)
Lineage: Eukaryota; Metazoa; Chordata; Amphibia; Anura; Myobatrachidae
Exons: 3
Source: RefSeq, a predicted model, not a curated record